UUGUUAUUUAAUUUAAAUUAUUAAAAAUAAUUAUAAAGUAAAUAGUUUUAGUAUUUUAUAAAGAAAUAAUAAGUUUAAUUAUAGUUUAUUAGUAUUGUGAAAGAAUAUUGAAAUAUUUUGAAAAAUUUUUAUUAAAAAAGAAAAUUUGAUUUAUUGUACCUUGUGUAUCAGGGUUUAUUAAAUAAAAAAUAUAUAUUAUAUUUUUUUCGAUUUUAAAAGAGUUAAUAAAUUAUUAUAGUUAUUGUAAUAAAAUUAUUAUAAAUAAUUUAUUAGAAAUGAAAUGUUAUUCGUUUUUAAAGGUAUCUAGUUUUUUAAGAAAUAAAUUUAAUUUAGUUAUUUAAAUAUUAUAUAUUUAUUUAUUUGAAUGAUAUAAAUUUUAAAUAAUAAUAUUUUAUGGGAUAAGCUAUAAAAUAAAAUUUUAAAAAUAAAAAUGAAUUAAUAUUAUAUAUAUAUAUAUAUAUAUGCUUAGAGUUAGCAAUUAUUAUUAAAUAUGUUAUAAUUUAUUAAUAUAAGAUAAUUAUUUAUUUUUUUUUUAGUUAUUUAUUAAAAUAUUUAUUUAAAUUUUUUAAAUAAAUUAAUAAUGAUAUAAUUAGUAUAUAUAUAUAAUUUAUAAAUAAAAUAGUAUGAAAAGAUUUUAUAAAGAAUUCGGCAAAUUUUUAUAUUCGCCUGUUUAACAAAAACAUGUCUUUUAGUAUUUAAUUUAAAGUUUAACCUGCCCACUGAUUUAAUUUUAAAUGGCCGCAGUAUUUUAACUGUGCAAAGGUAGCAUAAUCAUUAGUCUUUUAAUUGAAGGCUUGUAUGAAUGGUUGGACGAAAUAUAAACUGUUUCAUGAAAUUUUAUAAUAGAAUUUUAUUUUUUAGUUAAAAAGCUAAAAUUUUUUUAAAAGACGAGAAGACCCUAUAGAUCUUAAUAAUUUAAUAGUUUUAAUUAUUUAGAUAAUUUAAAUUAUAAUUUAUAAAAAUUAUUUUAUUGGGGUGAUAUUAAAAUUUAUUAAACUUUUAAUAGUAAAAUAACAUUAAUGUAUGAUUAAUUGAUCCAUUAUUAAUGAUUAGUAAUUUAAGUUACCUUAGGGAUAACAGCGUAAUUUUUUUGGAGAGUUCAUAUCGAUAAAAAAGAUUGCGACCUCGAUGUUGAAUUAAGAGAUAGUUUUGGGAGUAGUAAUUCAAAAUUCUAAGUCUGUUCGACUUUUAAAUUCUUACAUGAUUUGAGUUCAAACCGGCGUAAGCCAGGUUGGUUUCUAUCUUUAAAUAUAAUAAAAUAUUUUAGUACGAAAGGACCAAAUAUUUGAAAAAUAAUUUUUUUUAUAUAGUAGAAUAAAAUUAAUUAAUUAUAAAGC
Molecule: ribosomal RNA, 1337 nt
Filed under: Calohilara tibetensis
Lineage: Eukaryota; Metazoa; Arthropoda; Insecta; Diptera; Empididae
Description: 16S ribosomal RNA
Source: RNAcentral